This 460-nucleotide ribosomal RNA is filed under the name uncultured bacterium. RNAcentral describes it as "partial 16S ribosomal RNA". It matches the Rfam family "Bacterial small subunit ribosomal RNA", at positions 338 to 795 of the family's 1533-position model. The record is from RNAcentral.
CCUACGGGUGGCAGCAGUGAGGAAUAUUGGUCAAUGGGCGCGAGCCUGAACCAGCCAAGUAGCGUGAAGGAUGACUGCCCUACGGGUUGUAAACUUCUUUUAUAAGGGAAUAAAGUGAGGCACGUGUGCCUUUUUGUAUGUACUAUAUGAAUAAGGAUCGGCUAACUCCGUGCCAGCAGCCGCGGUAAUACGGAGGAUCCGAGCGUUAUCCGGAUUUAUUGGGUUUAAAGGGAGCGUAGAUGGGUUGUUAAGUCAGUUGUGAAAGUUUGCGGCUCAACCGUAAAAUUGCAUUUGAUACUGGCAGCCUUGAGUACAGUAGAGGUAGGCGGAAUUCGUGGUGUAGCGGUGAAAUGCUUAGAUAUCACGAAGAACUCCGAUUGCGAAGGCAGCUUACUAAACUGCCACUGACACUGAGGCUCGAAAGUGUGGGUAUCAAACAGGAUUAGAUACCCGUGUAGUC